UGUUAAAAAUUUCAUCCAUUUAUGCUGUUAAAAACUAGCAUUGUUGACAGAACAACUAGACGGUAAUAAAUGGCAUGCCAUGUGUACAUUAUGCUAACGUAUAAGGAUCAGUUUUUAACGGUAGAAAUGGAUGAAAUUUUUAACA
Molecule: non-coding RNA, 145 nt
Organism: Gossypium hirsutum (cotton)
Lineage: Eukaryota; Viridiplantae; Streptophyta; Magnoliopsida; Malvales; Malvaceae
Source: Rfam